ACUCCUACGGGAGGCAGCAGUGGGGAAUAUUGCACAAUGGGGAAACCCGUAGCUGNAGCCAUGCCGCGUGUGUGAAGAAGGCCUUCGGGUUGUAAAAGUACUUUCAGCAGUGAGGAAGGCGGGUACGUUAAUAGCGUGCUCGUUUGACGUUAGCUGCAGAAGAAGCACCGGCUAACUCCGUGCCAGCAGCCGCGGUAAUACGGAGGGUGCGAGCGUUAAUCGGAAUUACUGGGCGUAAAGCGCAUGCAGGUGGUUUGUUAAGUCAGAUGUGAAAGCCCGGGCUU
Molecule: ribosomal RNA, 284 nt
Filed under: uncultured bacterium
Lineage: Bacteria
Description: partial 16S ribosomal RNA
Rfam family: Bacterial small subunit ribosomal RNA
Source: RNAcentral